Homo sapiens (human) is the source of this 1000-nucleotide RNA transcript. It is a transcript of the gene named GCSH pseudogene 3, with no coding region annotated. The record is from RefSeq and is marked validated. The transcript has a single exon. Lineage: Eukaryota; Metazoa; Chordata; Mammalia; Primates; Hominidae.
CUGCCCACACCGCCCCGCCUCCCCGCGCGAGUGGCUGAGGCGUAGCGCUGCCAUCCCCGCACCCCUGGGAACAUGGCGCUGCGAGUGGUGCGGAGCGUGCGGGCCGUGCUCUGCAGCCUGCACGUGGUCCUGGCACCUGCCGCGCCCUGCCUAUCGAGGCCCUGGCAGCUUGGGAUGGGCGCCGUCUGGUUACUGUAAUCUGCCUGAAGUUGGGACAAAAUUGAACAAACAAGAUGAGUUUGGUGCUUUGGAGAGUGUGAAAGCUGCUAGUGAACUCUAUUCUCCUUUAUCAGGAGAAGUAACCGAAAUUAAUGAAGCUCUUGCAGAAAAUCCAGGACUUGUAAACAAAUCUCGUUAUGAAGAUGGUUGGCUGAUCAAGAUGACACUGAGUAACCCUUCAUAACUAGAUGAACUUAUGAGUGAAGAAGCAUAUGAGAAAUACAUAAAAUCUAUUGAGGAGUGAAAAUGGAACCACUAAAUAAGCUAGUAUGAAAUAACGCAACCCAGCAGAGUUGUCCUAAAUUAGUGGUGGAUAGAAGACUUAGAAUAGCAACUUUUAGCAUUACCCAUGGGAAAAAAAAACUACUGUUAACACUGCUAAUGAAAGAAGAUGCCUUUUAACUUUCUAAUGAUUGUAGAUAAACAUAAUAUGUGUCUUUUUCACAACAUCCUAUGAUUUUUAGACUAGGCUCUAGUAUUCAUGAAAUUAUCCAUGAAAUUAUCCAUGGUAAAAAUUAGUUACAAAAAUUACAUAAUUCAAAGAUAAUGUUGUUAUUCUUAAGCCUUAUAUAAUAUUGUAACUUGUGUAUGUCCAUACCUGGACUUGGGAUGAAAUACUUAAUGAUCUUUCCAUUGGAAAUAACUGGGAGUGAAGAAGUUUUUGUUGCUUGUACAGUGUCAGAUGAAGAACAACACUAUCUUAAUUUUGCAAUACACUGCAUUUGCUGGUGCUGUUUUUAUAUAGUGAAGCAACAGCUGUACAGCAAAAUAAUAAAAUACU